Long non-coding RNA from Syzygium oleosum, 389 nucleotides. RefSeq lists it as uncharacterized. The record is from RefSeq and is a predicted model, not a curated record. The transcript is spliced from 2 exons. Lineage: Eukaryota; Viridiplantae; Streptophyta; Magnoliopsida; Myrtales; Myrtaceae.
GGAAAGCAUAUAGAAUAAGAGGAGCUGAUCAAUAUACUUGAGCCUUCUGAAAUAUCUGGAGACAUGAACAUGAAGAGACCCUGCAUGGCCGCAAUGCUUCUAGUUUUUCUCCUCUUCACUAUGUGCAAUUAUGAAGUGGAGGCUGAGCGUAGAUGCGUGCUGUAUGGGACAGCACCGGGCGGUUGCCAGGCUGCUCCGUGUCAAGCCUUUUGUGACAAAUACUAUGGUGAUAAGCAUCCCGGGGGGGUUUGCAGUGGGAAUAAUUGCUUAUGUUUCUAUCGUUGUUAAAUCCCUAGAAGCCUUUGGCCCAGUGCCAGAGACAUCAGGACUUCUGUUCCAAAUGCAAUAAACUCUCCCUUCAAAUCAAAAGGGAGGUCUCUUUCGGGUUA